Molecule: ribosomal RNA, 253 nt
Filed under: uncultured bacterium
Lineage: Bacteria
Description: partial 16S ribosomal RNA
Rfam family: Bacterial small subunit ribosomal RNA
Source: RNAcentral
UACGAAGGGGGCGAGCGUUGUUCGGAUUUACUGGGCGUAAAGGGCGCGCAGGCGGCGCAUUUUGUCAGGCGUGAAAGCCCCGGGCUUAACCUGGGAACUGCGUUUGAUACGGAUGGGCUAGAGUUCGGGAGAGGAGAGUGGAAUUCCCAGUGUAGAGGUGAAAUUCGUAGAUAUUGGGAAGAACACCGGUGGCGAAGGCGGCGACCUGGACGGACAUUGACGCUGAGACGCGAAAGCGUGGGGAGCAAACAGG